Molecule: ribosomal RNA, 447 nt
Filed under: uncultured bacterium
Lineage: Bacteria
Description: bacterial SSU rRNA
Rfam family: Bacterial small subunit ribosomal RNA
Source: RNAcentral
UGGGGAAUCUUGGACAAUGGGCGCAAGCCUGAUCCAGCCAUGCCGCGUGAAGGAUGAAGUAUUUCGGUAUGUAAACUUCGUAAGAAUAGGAAGAAUAAAUGACGGUACUAUUUGUAAGGUCCGGCUAACUACGUGCCAGCAGCCGCGGUAAUACGUAGGGACCAAGCGUUGUUCGGAUUUACUGGGCGUAAAGGGCGCGUAGGCGGUUUGUCAAGUCAGUUGUGAAAUCUCCGAGCUUAACUCGGAACGGUCAACUGAUACUGUCAAACUAGAGUACAGAAGGGGCAAUCGGAAUUCUUGGUGUAGCGGUGAAAUGCGUAGAUAUCAAGAGGAACACCUGAGGCGAAGGCGGGUUGCUGGGCUGAUACUGACGCUGAAGCGCGAAAGCUAGGGUAGCAAACGGGAUUAGAUACCCAUGUAGUCCCUGAGCGGGCUGGCAAGGCGCAU